This 450-nucleotide ribosomal RNA is filed under the name uncultured bacterium. Its description in RNAcentral is "bacterial SSU rRNA". It matches the Rfam family "Bacterial small subunit ribosomal RNA", at positions 31 to 507 of the family's 1533-position model. The record is from RNAcentral.
UAGAACGCUGGCGGAGUUGCCUAACACAUGCAAGUCGAGCGGCAGCGCGAGUAGUUUACUACUUGGCGGCGAGCGGCGGACGGCUGAGUAACGCGUGGGAACAUGCCCCAAAGUGAGGAAUAACUGCCCGAAAGGGUAGCUAAUGCCGCAUACGAUCUUCGGAUUAAAGGAUUUAUCCGCUUUGGGAGUGGCCUGCGUACGAUUAGAUAGUUGGUGAGGUAAUGGCUCACCAAGUCUACGAUCGUUAACUGGUUUGAGAGGAUGAUCAGUCAGACUGGAACUGAGACACGGUCCAGACUCCUACGGGAGGCAGCAGUGAGGAAUCUUCCACAAUGACGAAAGUCUGAUGGAGCAACUCCGCGUGCAGGAUGAAGGCCUUCGGGUCGUAAACUGCUUUUAUGAGUGAAGAAUAUGACGGUAACUCAUGAAUAAGGGUCGGCUAACUACGUG